GACGAACGCUGGCGGUGUGCUUAACACAUGCAAGUCGAACGGUAAGGCCCUUUCGGGGGUACACGAGUGGCGCACGGGUGAGUAACACGUGAGUAACCUGCCCUCAUCUCUGGGAUAACAGUCGGAAACGGUUGCUAAUACUGGAUAUGAGCCUGCAAGGCAUCUUGUGGGUUGGAAAGAUUUUUUGGUUGGGGAUGGACUCGCGGCCUAUCAGCUUGUUGGUGAGGUAGUGGCUCACCAAGGCUUCGACGGGUAGCCGGCCUGAGAGGGCGACCGGCCACAUUGGGACUGAGAUACGGCCCAAACUCCUACGGGAGGCAGCAGUGGGGAAUAUUGCACAAUGGACGGAAGUCUGAUGCAGCAACGCCGCGUGCGGGAUGACGGCCUUCGGGUUGUAAACCGCUUUCAAUUGUGACGAAGCUUUUUGUGACGGUAGCAGUAGAAGAAGCACCGGCUAACUACGUG
RNAcentral lists this ribosomal RNA (465 nucleotides) under uncultured bacterium. RNAcentral's name for it is "partial 16S ribosomal RNA". It matches the Rfam family "Bacterial small subunit ribosomal RNA", at positions 28 to 507 of the family's 1533-position model. The record is from RNAcentral.